GCGCAGCAGUCGAGAAACUUUACAAUGUGCGAAAGCACGAUAAGGGAACUCUGAGUGCCUCCUAAGGAGGCUGUUCAGGUGUCUAAAAGCACCUGAAGGAAGGGCUGGGUAAGACCGGUGCCAGCCGCCGCGGUAACACCGGCAGCCCAAGUGGUAGCCACGUUUAUUGGGUCUAAAGCGUCCGUAGCCGGCUGGGUAAGUUCCUUGGGAAAUUUGGCUGCUUAACAGUCAAGCUUUCAGGGAAUACUGCCCGGCUUGGGACCGGGAGAGGUCAGAGGUACUCCAGGGGUAGGGGUGAAAUCCAUUAAUCCUUGGGGGACCACCGGUAGCGAAGGCGUCUGACCAGACCGGGUCCGACGGUGAGGGGACGAGGGCUAGGGGGCGCGAACCGGAUUA
This 396-nucleotide ribosomal RNA is filed under the name uncultured microorganism. Its description in RNAcentral is "bacterial SSU rRNA". It matches the Rfam family "Archaeal small subunit ribosomal RNA", at positions 330 to 731 of the family's 1478-position model. The record is from RNAcentral.